This 1908-nucleotide long non-coding RNA is filed under the name Equus asinus (donkey). RNAcentral describes it as "lncRNA (ENSEASG00005030861.1)". The record is from RNAcentral. Lineage: Eukaryota; Metazoa; Chordata; Mammalia; Perissodactyla; Equidae.
AAGGAAGGCCAGGGAUGGCCGGCAACCUCUAGAAGCUAGGAGAAAGGCAAGGAAAGAUUCUCCCUUAGGGGCUCCAGAGAGAUUGUGGCCCUGCCCACAUCUGGAUUUUGGACUUCUAGGCUUCAUAACUGUGAGAGAAUUUAUUGCUGUUUUGUAAAAGCCAUGCAGUUUGUGGUAAUUUGUUAUGGUAGCCCCACGAAACGAAUACACUAGCCAACCACCAGCGAGUUCCUAAGGUCUGCCAACAGCCAUGUAAAUGAGCUUGCAAGAGGAUCUUCUGAGGCCUGCCAACAGCCGGGCUGAGUGAGCGUGGAAGCGGAUCCUCCCCCAGCCAAGCCUUGAGAGGACUGCAGCCCCAAGUGACACCUUGAUUUCAUUCUUCUGAAGACCUGGAGCCAGACUUGCCUAGCAAAGCCCCUCUGAGAUUUCCGACCCACAAAAACUGGGAGAGGUUCAGCCGGUUGGAUUCCCAUUUCCCACCAUGGCACUCCAGGCUCUUCAGCACUUUCUUCAUUUUUGCAAAUAGAAACUGCUUGUGGAUCAAGAUAUCUCUGGGUGAGUAACGAGUAACUUUAAGAAGUAACUGUCCCUUACCUCAUCUCUCUGGUUUGAUCCCCUGAAAAUGUAAGUUUGACUUGUAUUCUUGGGAAUCCUGGUGGGCUGAGUCCUGAAUCUUGGGCCUGGACCACCAAGAUAAUAAGAGACAGGAUAAAAGGUUCACUCAUGAGUUACUCUUGGUGGUCUAGUUAGCAUUCUGAUCUGUGUUAUAUGUAGAAUUGUGUGUUAAUGUUUGUCUAAACUGAAUUGGCUGUUUGGGUACUGAGUUUCUUGGUGACCGUAACCAAACCUCCUUUAGAAAUUAACUUUAUGAGGGUCUUCUGACUCUGAGGAAAGGGGCGCUGUUCCCUCCAGUCCUUGGGGACAUUCCCAGGUGACUGGAAUUUUAGGGAGGCAUCAGGGCAUCUGCCCAUGAUGUGUAGCAGCCUCAUAGGGACGCCCUUUUGAAGAACCUCUCUUAUCGGGACUUCACGCUUCCUGGUAAAGCAGUUGGCAGUGGCAGCUCGUCCAGUGGCUUACUCGCCUGAACUUUGUUGUGCCAAAAUACAUAAGAGAGACAGGUGACCCCUUGCUUAUUCUUAAGGGAGCUGUUCCCGCAAGCAACACUAUCAGACUCUAAACACUACCCCCUACAAAGACCUUGUUUAUUGUGGCCACCUUGACAAAAGCCCCCUAAAAUGGGAAAUAUAAAUGGUAUACCAAAUUGCAGCCCAUGGGAAUGCAUUCUCCAAAACUGAGCAGUGUUCUGUUAUGAGCCCAUGAAGAAAAAGAGAAUGAUUUCCUUUUGUAAUACGACCUGGCCCCAAUUGGAUUCAGAUGAGAUGUGGCGUGAGAAUGGGUCUCUGAACUAUAAAACCAUCUUGCAGUUAGACCUAUUCUGUGAAAGGGAAGAAAAACGGAAUGAGAUUCCCUUUGGGCAAUCUUUUAUGUUUUUAUACCAAAAUAAGAAUUUGCAAAAGAGAUGUAAGGUUCUGAGUCAAAGGGAGGAUCCACAGAAAAAACCUAUCCUCCUAGAAUCAAAGUCAGAUGAUAUGUCCUUCCUCAUUUGCUAUCCCCUACAGAGCCUCCAUUGUAUGCUGGGGAUGGGAUUGGAGGUGACCAAGGAGGGCAUACUGAUUCUCCUAAAGCCACUGGUUUGACUUUGUACCCCCAUUUACCUAAUAGUCAGACAGGAAUUGUCUCUCUUGCUCAUAUCCAUUGGUGCACUCAAUUUGGCCCAGGGAAGGCUCCAACUCAGGCAGGGCAAUUCUCACUAAGAUAAGCCCCUGCAGGCCUCCAUGACCAAGGCCAGCCUUUUCAACUUUGGACUUAUACAAUUGGAAGAACAAUGCACCUGUUUACCAAGAUGAU